GCCGUCCCGCCGCCCCCGCCCGCCUACGGGAGGCAGCAGUGGGGAAUCUUCCGCAAUGGACGAAAGUCUGACGGAGCAACGCCGCGUGUAUGAUGAAGGUCUUCGGAUUGUAAAGUACUGUCUUUGGGGAAGAACGGUCGAUUUGAAAAUAUUGAGUCGACAUGACGGUACCCAAGGAGGAAGCCCCGGCUAACUACGUGCCAGCAGCCGCGGUAAUACGUAGGGGGCAAGCGUUGUCCGGAAUUAUUGGGCGUAAAGGGCGCGUAGGCGGAUUAUUAAGUCUGGUGUGAAAGAUCAGGGCUCAACCCCUGAGAGUGCAUCGGAAACUGGUGAUCUUGAGGACCAGGAGAGGAAAGUGGAAUUCCACGUGUAGCGGUGAAAUGCGUAGAUAUGUGGAGGAACACCGGUGGCGAAGGCGACUUUCUGGACUGUAACUGACGCUGAGGCGCGAAAGCGUGGGGAGCCAAACCAGGAUUAGNUACCCCUGGUNGUCNCACGCACGUAAACGAAUGAGUGCNUAUGGUGUAUGAUGGGUAUUCGACCCNNAUUCUUGUGCCCGCCGAGUUUANACCACCAGUNG
Molecule: ribosomal RNA, 580 nt
Filed under: uncultured Desulfosporosinus sp.
Lineage: Bacteria; Bacillati; Bacillota; Clostridia; Eubacteriales; Desulfitobacteriaceae
Description: bacterial SSU rRNA
Rfam family: Bacterial small subunit ribosomal RNA
Source: RNAcentral